Molecule: ribosomal RNA, 253 nt
Filed under: uncultured bacterium
Lineage: Bacteria
Description: partial 16S ribosomal RNA
Rfam family: Bacterial small subunit ribosomal RNA
Source: RNAcentral
GACAGAGGGUGCAAACGUUGUUCGGAAUUACUGGGCGUAAAGCGCGUGUAGGCUGCUCUGCAAGUCGGAUGUGAAAGCCCAGGGCUCAACCUAGGAAGUGCACUCGAAACUGCAGAGCUUGAGUCCUGGAGAGGAAGGCGGAAUUCUCGGUGUAGAGGUGAAAUUCGUAGAUAUCGAGAGGAACACCGGUGGCGAAGGCGGCCUUCUGGACAGUGACUGACGCUGAGACGCGAAAGCGUGGGGAGCAAACAGG